RNAcentral lists this ribosomal RNA (253 nucleotides) under uncultured bacterium. RNAcentral describes it as "partial 16S ribosomal RNA". It matches the Rfam family "Bacterial small subunit ribosomal RNA", at positions 524 to 776 of the family's 1533-position model. The record is from RNAcentral.
UACGAAGGGGGCUAGCGUUGUUCGGAUUUACUGGGCGUAAAGCGCACGUAGGCAGAUCGUUAAGUCGGGGGUGAAAUCCUGGAGCUCAACUCCAGAACUGCCUUCGAUACUGGCGAUCUUGAGUCCGGAAGAGGUGAGUGGAACUCCUAGUGUAGAGGUGGAAUUCGUAGAUAUUAGGAAGAACACCAGUGGCGAAGGCGGCUCACUGGUCCGGUACUGACGCUGAGGUGCGAAAGCGUGGGGAGCAAACAGG